CUCAGGACCUUGCACUUGUGAGGCAGGCGUGGCGCCACUGAGCUAAAUCCCCAGCCAGUGUAUUUAGUUUUUUAAAAAGUUACUGGAGAGGGCCGGGGAUUUAGCUCAGUGGUUUCGCUGCCUGCUGCGCAAGCGCAAGGACCUGAGUUUGAUUCGUGAUACCAAAAAAACCCAAACCAAACAAAAAAAGUUAUUGGAGGAAAGAAGGUGCUGAUUCAGACCAAUCAGAAGAUGGUAAGCAGCAUUUUAAUGCAGUUUUAAAUUUUUUAGCCUAAAAAAUAACUAAUGGUGACGAGUAUGUAGCUCAGUGGUAAAGUGCUUACCUAGUGUUCAUGAAGCCCUGGGUUUCUUUUGCAUUCCCAUCCCUAAAAAUUUAAUAUUGAAAACUAAAGAUACAAAAGGCAUCUUUUAGUCUGUCAGAUAUUUGUUCGGUAGAUUUUCAGAAAUUGACCAGUUUCGUAAACCAAAGAGAAAUAGUGUAAAUAAUACAAGAGCAAGUAUGGGGAUUUGAAAAUGCUAUGUCCACUUUUAAAGUACAGCCCAGAUUAUUUAGUAGUAACUAGUAAAAGUUCACUCAAAUUCAGAUUUUCAAACUUAUUUAGCACUUUUUAAAAAAAGUUACUUGAAUGUUCAGUUUAGAUUUAAAAAUAAGGGCUCAGUUCAUGGAGCUAUAUAUGAGCUAUAUAUGAUAUUAGAAUGCUUUUAUCAUUGUUAUUUAUUUAUUUUUAUUUUGGUACUGGGGUUCAAACUCAGGACCUUGUGCUUGUGAGGCAGGCGUGGCGCCACUGAGCUAUAUCUCCGGCCCUUUUAUUAGUAUUUUUUUUCUUUUAUUAGUAUUUUUGAAUAGGGAAGAGAACAGUAAUUGUUAUAAAACCAUAACAGUGAUCUGGGUUGCAGCUUAGUGUUAGAGCACAAACUUAGCAUGCACAAAGCCUUGGGCCUAAUCCCCUCCCCACUGAAAGAAAAGAUUCUGUUGACAUUUUCCUUUGAAAUUUUGUUAGCCUUUGAUCCAGGCAACUUCUGCAGCUCCAGUCACUGUUCUGCAUCGCUACACAAAGGGAAGGUGGAAUAAAUACCCUUCUUUAGAAUAACUUCCAAUCACUUUAUGUCUUACACUCAGCUGGUGACCAUAUUUCUAAAGUUCACUCAUGGGACCAAAAAAUAGGAAGAAAGAGAGUGGUGACCAGAUAAUCAUUGGCUUUUUGUUUUUUUUUAUUUUUUGGUACUGGGGAUCGAACUUGGGUCCUUGCUUUUGCACAGCAGGAAGUGAAACUACUGAGCUAAAUCCCCGUUCUGAUAAUUUAUUUUUAAAGUAAUAAUUCCUUGUACUAUGGAUCUGUCUAGAUUCAACACAGAUUUUUUUUUUCCCCCCUUAAGUUCCAGGAGCUUGUUGCAGCAUUUUUUUUUUUGGUACCAGGGAUUGAAUUUGGGUCCUUGCGCUUGCGCAGCAGGUGGUGAAACCACUGAGCUAAAUCCCCGGUCCUUUGCAGUGUCUUUUUAAAGAAAAUGAGAAGAAUGCCCACAAAUGUUAGGACAGAAUUAUGGAGGGAAAAUACUUUCUCAAAUUAAAAAUGGACUGGAGGAUACAGCUCAGCAGUAAAUCACUUGCUUAACAUGCAUAAGGCCCUCAGUUUGAUCCCCAGCACUAUGGCAGAAAAAAUGAAAACUGAAAGGUUGCGGGGAAUGGAGUAAAGAUCAGCGCUGGGAGGCAGAGGAUGUGGUAUAAAUAAGCAUUGAUUUGUAGUUUUGUUUCUAUGUAGAUUACUUACAACUAACGUAAAAUGAAUGUUUGAUUUCUUGAGCAUGCAGAUGGUGAAGGAUGGAAAGCCAACCUGGAGGCACAAAUUUCAGCAGAUGCUCUGCUUCCAGGUAGUGGAAGUGACUUAUUUUCUUUUUGUGGUUCUGGGUAUUGAAGCCAGGACCUCACCCAUGCUAGGCAAAUGCUCUAACACUGAGCUACAUCCCAGACCUAGUAUAAAUGAUUUUUUUCUUUUCAGUACUAGGGAAGGGGAGAGAGCCAAGGUCCUCUACCACUGAGCUAUGUCCCCAGCCCUUUUUAGUUUUAUUUAUUUUUUCUAUUUUGAGACAGGGUCCUGCUAAAUUGCAGGCUGGACUCAAACUUGUGAUUCUCCUGCUUGGCCUCUCAACUAGCUGGGAUUACAGGCAUGCAUCACUAUACCCAGCCUUCAAAAAUGACUUUUUAACAGUGCUAAUAUCUUCAAUCCAAAAGCAACACCAUCUCCAUCCAAAGGGAAUCUUUAAAUCUCAAGAUGGAUCACCUUCACCAUGAUUAGACUGCAGAUAGAAUAAGGCCUCAUGAAGAUAUUUUUGGUGGCUUUAAAUUGUUGGGAACAGAUACAUAGAGAAGAAACUGCAACUAUGCUCUUUUUUUUUCCUGGUUCCUCAGUCUCCUGAUAUAGUUAACAUUUCACAACUAAAAUAACCUUAAUGAACACUUGAUUAUACUUUUUUUGAAGAUACAUUUCAUGACCUCAGACUGCAGAAACUGCCAUCUCCUAGGCACAGUUUACAUUUGAUCCUUUGCUUAUGUCCCGAGAGCAUCGCAUAUUGGGAGACAUUGCUUUUAUAAAGGCAGUGGCUGCUGGGCCUGGUGAUGCACACCUAUAAUCCCAGCACAUAACAUCAGUGGCCAGCUUGCCUCAGUGUUAAUAAGGACCAGCAUGCAGGUUCAGUUUUGCUCUUCACUUUGGUCCUGAAUUGAGAGCUGAGUCAAGAGAAGUCAGCAGGUCUGCUCAAAAAUGUACGGGUCUUGGGGCCAGAGAUGUAGCUCAGUAGUUCCACUACCUGCCUCACAAGCACAAGGUCCUGAGUUCGAUCCCUGGUACAAAAAAAAAAAAUGUAUGAGUCUUUUUUUUUCCCCAAAAGACAGAUUAUUAUUGAGCCCACUUCGGUCAAGGAGCACUGAAUAUUGUGUUAAAAUAGUACUUUACUUCAUGCUUGAAAUUAACAUUUUAAAGAAUCAUGUAAAUAGUUUAAAGGUAGCUGGAUUUAUUGUAGCCAAAUGAGAAAUACAGCUGUUAAUGAGAGGGCAUAACUUGUGUAGUUCUUAAUUAUUUACAUCAUUAGAGAAACACAAAUAUGACUAGUUCAGAGCAAUUUAACUUUGCAGUGAGAGUUUCUGCGUACCUUUAUAUGUGGGGAUAGCUGAGAUCCUUGGAAUUUACUUUGAGUGAAUGAUGGAAAUACCCGAGAAAACGUAGUGCUAGGACCUCUACUUUUUCUCAGGUCCAGUCACCAACUUCCUACAAACCAGGCAUGAAGAAAAACAAAAAAUAAAUUCUCCAGAAAAUAGGAUGCUUCUCUUCACCCAGGCACAGGUAUAAAGGGUACAUUUCUCAGGGCUCCCUUCUUUACUUUGAGUCUCUUAAGAGGUAUUUGAGAUGUCAGUAAGCUAAAAUUAAAUGUAUUAAUAUGGGAAGAUUGAAAUAUCAACAGAAAUGUUUGAUAGUAUAGGUGUUAUCAUUUACCUUGAAGGUAAAAUUUAUGCUGGAAAACAAGUCUGAAGGAUGAUCACUUUCAAAAUACAAACCUGGAAACUUAACCAUCAUUGGCUACUGUAACAACAAAAUUGCACAAACUAGGAUAUGUUAGAGCAAAAGUCUACCCAAGUCUGGUUUUUAACAGCUCUAAUCCAGGGUGCUUCUCAACUCUGUAACAAACAGUAUUUUAUUUUUGCCUUAUUUCCAGAUGCCAGCUUUAACACAUAUGCUCUACCCUAUUUUGAGCAGUGUAUUUUUGCUUUGAAAGGAAACUUGAAUGUGCAUUUUGUCUUCCUUUGAAUUACUUUUUGGGGCGGUCGUACUGGGGAUCUAACUCAGGACCUUGGCAGGUGGCGGAAGCACUGAGCUAAAUCCCCAGCCCUUGAAUGUUACUUUUAAUUGAACAGUAAGAAACUGAGCUCAGCAUUGACAGUCAGACUCUUAACUAAAUUUUCAACUUUUUCUGAGGUCAUCCUAAAUGAUUCCUUUUGUUUUUUUGUACCUGAGAUCGAACUCAGGACCUGUGCUUGCAAGGCAGGCAACGGCACCACUGAGCUAAAUCCUCAACUCCUUUCUUUUCUUUUUUAAAUUUAAUUUUGCUUUGUUUUUCUUUAUAAAGUGAAGAGUAUAUAACACGAGUCCCUUUUGCCCUGUACUAGUACAGUCUGGCAUCAGGAGCAGUAGUUGUUGCUCUUCUGAUUUUCAUUAAUGAAGUUUUAUGGGUUGGAAGAUCUAUUUUAUCCAGUGUUGAUUCUUUAAUUGGGCACUAUAAGUAAAUUCACUUGCUAUCCUGCUUAGUAUUUUAUAUUGAUAUUUUAUAUUUUAUAUUCCUUCUACUUCAGGAAUGGUAACCUAGGAAUAGCAACUGUGGAGUUGAAGGAUACUUUGAUCAUACUUUAAAUAACAGACAUUUUGAGGGUUUUUGGCUUUUAUAAAAACAAAACUCAGGAUCAUGUUCAUAGUUUUUUCAUUGCUUGUUGUUAGUGUUUAUUUAUUUAUUUAUUUUUGGUACUGGGGAUUGAACUCCGGUCCUUGUGCUUUUGAGGGAGGCGGUGGAACCACUGAGCUAAAUCUCCGGCCCUACUGUGUUUAUUAUUAAUGGAUUAAUAUCCUGCCCUUGUUCUUAAAGUAAUUUUAUAUGCUAAACUUUUGUUUUGUUUUCUAGCUUCUAAGAUAGAUAACAGUUAUUGCAAAGUACAUGUUUUUAAAUGAUCUCCAGUGUGGAUUGCUUCUGAGCCACUGAUGGAAUGAGUACUCCCGGAAGGAAUGUAUCAUUUGGAAUCCAGAAUCAUUCAUCAAGGAUAACUGCCUGAUCCUAUGAUUUCGUGACUGACGCUGAAAUGGAAGCCAACUGAUGCUGAAAUUUGGGGGAAAAUUACAUCUGAAGAAUGCAAGAGAAAGUAGGAAUUCAUUUCUAGCAUUCCCAAACCUGCCUUGUAUUGUCUACUGUACUAUAGUCAGAGGACAACAACUGAGUUCAUGGAAUUUGCCAGCUAAGCCUUACAACUGUCUUAAAUGUUCUUAGGAAAUACACUGAAAAGGUAAGUGAAUUGUCCAUUUAGAAGAAAGACUAAUAGGUAUUUUUAAGUCAGUUGUUAUAUUUUAAUAAAGACAGGGAGCUCCUUUAUUCCAAACUUCAAAGUCGUGCCCCUACUGGGUGACUUCAGUACUGUGGCAAACGUGGAGUUGUUCAACCAGCCUGGAGCUUUUCCUCUACUCAGCUACUAAGCCAGAACAUGCGUUGAAGUGCAUAGCAUGCUAAUUUCUGUUGUCUUGUUGUGCUCAAAUCCUUUUUUUUAAAAAAUUACUUUGUUUCAGAUGAGAUUUAGUUUUAUCACUCAGUAUAUAGAAAAGAGUGUUUAAUGUUUCAAAGAUUCAGCAUUACAUUUGCAUUAGAUAGAAUCAAGAAUAAAUUAAGGGUUUUAAAUGAUUUCUGUUAAUACCUACUUAUAUUAGUUUUGUGGAUUAUUAAAAAAUAUUAUUACAUUUAUUAUGUUCCUGUGUGAUAGGUAUUGUGCCAGGCCCUGGAAUACAGAGGGACUAGCAUGCACAGUUUAUGUCCUUUGUUCAUACAAUACAGAUAGCAUUCUGGUUUAGAGAAUCAAGAUAUGAUAUAAAAAGGCUAAUUCCAUUUUCUCAUCAAUAAUUUACUCUGAUAACUACUAUGUUAACUUAGCAUAAUAAAUUCUUUAUGAAAGUGUCUUCGUUUGUGUGUUUAACAUUUAUUAAAUACUUUGUGCCAGGUAUUGUGUUAAACUCUUUACAUAUAUUUCUUUACUCAUAUCUCUUCUUUGAGGUAGGUACUAUUACUAAAACUCAUUUUCUAAGAAAAGUAGAGAAGCUAACUAACUUAACUUGUGCUGAGUUUGCCUACCUAUGAUCUGGGACCAAUAUUUGGACCCAGGUAAGCUAAUUCCAGAAUCUACACUCUUUCUUUGGGUAUGAUGUUGAUAUGCAGUACCUGGCUAUGAGUAUCCAUAAACCAUUCCAAACUCUUAAUAGAAAUUUUCCCUAAAUUCUUCUCUAGCUCCAAGACAGUUUGCAUGCUGACCUUUCCUCUUACCCCAGGCCCCAAGUGUAAAGGACUGGAACAGAAGAGCAGAGCUUGGCAGUUACAUUUUAUAUUUAGGAUCUUGUCUCUCAGAUCCACCCCUUUUAUUUUUGGAAUGUGAGCAUUUUCUUUAGCUGCUAAAUCAUGAGAAAAUACAGCUGCUGAGAUUUUUCCUAGGAUUAAAAAAAAGAUUAGGCAUUGUUGAAGUGAAGAAAAAUUGCUCUGAGAACCACAGGUAGGUAAUUUGCCCCCUGUUGUAUGGAAAGCCCCUGCACCUCUGUCCAUUGUUUUAUACUUCUGUAAAUCUGAUUUUAACUUUAAUAAAG
Molecule: long non-coding RNA, 6377 nt
Filed under: Heterocephalus glaber (naked mole-rat)
Lineage: Eukaryota; Metazoa; Chordata; Mammalia; Rodentia; Bathyergidae
Description: lncRNA (ENSHGLG00000036864.1)
Source: RNAcentral